ACGGCUUACCAUGGCAACGAUGGGUAGGGGUCCUGAGAGGGAGAUCCCCCACACUGGUACUGAGACACGGACCAGACUCCUACGGGAGGCAGCAGUGAGGAAUAUUGGUCAAUGGGCGCAAGCCUGAACCAGCCAUGCCGCGUGCAGGAUGACGGUCCUAUGGAUUGUAAACUGCUUUUGUACGAGAAGAAACAACAUUACGUGUAAUGUCUUGACGGUAUCGUAAGAAUAAGGAUCGGCUAACUCCGUGCCAGCAGCCGCGGUAAUACGGAGGAUCCAAGCGUUAUCCGGAAUCAUUGGGUUUAAAGGGUCCGUAGGCGGUUUAGUAAGUCAGUGGUGUAAGCCCAUCGCUCAACGGUGGAACGGCCAUUGAUACUGCUAGACUUGAAUUAUUAGGAAGUAACUAGAAUAUGUAGUGUAGCGGUGUAAAUGCUUAGAGAUUACAUGGAAUACCAAUUGCGAAGGCAGGUUACUACUAAUGGAUUGACGGUGAUGGACGAAAGCGUGGGUAGCGAACAGGAUUAGAUACCCUGGUAGUCCACGCCGUAAACGAUGGAUACUAGCUGUUGGGAGCAAUUUCAGUGGCUAAGCGAAAGUGAUAAGUAUCCCACCUGGGGAGUAC
This 622-nucleotide ribosomal RNA is filed under the name bacterium PE03-6G24. RNAcentral's name for it is "bacterial SSU rRNA". It matches the Rfam family "Bacterial small subunit ribosomal RNA", at positions 260 to 883 of the family's 1533-position model. The record is from RNAcentral.